RNAcentral lists this ribosomal RNA (374 nucleotides) under uncultured organism. RNAcentral's name for it is "bacterial SSU rRNA". It matches the Rfam family "Bacterial small subunit ribosomal RNA", at positions 526 to 896 of the family's 1533-position model. The record is from RNAcentral.
CGGGGGGAGCAAGCGUUGUUCGGAUUUACUGGGCGUAAAGGGCGCGUAGGCGGCCUGUGCAAGUCGGUUGUGAAAUCUCCGGGCUUAACUCGGAACGGUCAACUGAUACUGCUCGGCUAGAGUGCAGAAGGGGCAACUGGAAUUCUUGGUGUAGCGGUGAAAUGCGUAGAUAUCAAGAGGAACACCUGCGGCGAAGGCGGGUUGCUGGGCUGACACUGACGCUGAAGCGCGAAAGCUAGGGGAGCGAACGGGAUUAGAUACCCCGGUAGUCCUAGCCUUAAACGAUGAAUGCUUGGUGUCUGGGGUUAUAAAGUCCCCGGGUGCCGUCGCUAACGCUUUAAGCAUUCCGCCUGGGGAGUACGGUCGCAAGACUG